CAACUGUGCUGAGGAACGUAGAUCUUUGAGGCUCCCCUGGUCCUGACGAGUCUGAGUCAGAAGAACCAACACUUCCUCCUGAAUAGUAGCCACAUAUAUGUAUAUUUGCUUUUUGCUGGGAUGAUAUUGUAGACUCAAAAAUAAUACAACCAAGACAAGCCGGCAUCAUGCAGGAUGAGUCUGAUUAACAGGGAGAAAGAGGAUGAGUUACGUAGACAAAUCUCAAGGAUGGUCAAGGAGAAAUCUCAAGAAGAAAAGAGGGAAUGAAACUAUGAAGUAGGCAGGUAUGUGUGUUCCUGCGGGUAUAUCAGUGAAGUUCGGCU
Molecule: long non-coding RNA, 323 nt
Filed under: Fukomys damarensis (Damara mole-rat)
Lineage: Eukaryota; Metazoa; Chordata; Mammalia; Rodentia; Bathyergidae
Description: lncRNA (ENSFDAG00000028962.1)
Source: RNAcentral